RNAcentral lists this ribosomal RNA (253 nucleotides) under uncultured bacterium. RNAcentral describes it as "partial 16S ribosomal RNA". It matches the Rfam family "Bacterial small subunit ribosomal RNA", at positions 524 to 776 of the family's 1533-position model. The record is from RNAcentral.
UACGUAGGGGGCGAGCGUUGUCCGGAAUUAUUGGGCGUAAAGAGCGUGUAGGCGGUUCGGUAAGUCUGCCGUGAAAACCUGGGGCUCAACCCCUGGACUGCGCUUGAUACUUCCGUGCUAGAACUUUGGAGAGGAGUCUGGAAUUCUCGGUGUAGUGGUGAAAUGCGUAGAUAUCAGGAGGAACACCAACGGCGAAGGCAGCGCGCUGGGCCGGAACUGACGCUGAGGAGCGAAAGCGUGGGUAGCGAACAGG